This 467-nucleotide ribosomal RNA is filed under the name uncultured bacterium. Its description in RNAcentral is "partial 16S ribosomal RNA". It matches the Rfam family "Bacterial small subunit ribosomal RNA", at positions 28 to 506 of the family's 1533-position model. The record is from RNAcentral.
GACGAACGCUGGCGGCGUGCUUAACACAUGCAAGUCGAACGGAAAGGCCCUGCUUUUGUGGGGUGCUCGAGUGGCGAACGGGUGAGUAACACGUGAGUAACCUGCCCUUGACUUUGGGAUAACUUCAGGAAACUGGGGCUAAUACCGGAUAGGAGCUCCUGCUGCAUGGUGGGGGUUGGAAAGUUUCGGCGGUUGGGGAUGGACUCGCGGCUUAUCAGCUUGUUGGUGGGGUAGUGGCUUACCAAGGCUUUGACGGGUAGCCGGCCUGAGAGGGUGACCGGCCACAUUGGGACUGAGAUACGGCCCAGACUCCUACGGGAGGCAGCAGUGGGGAAUAUUGCACAAGGGGCGGAAGCCUGAUGCAGCAACGCGGCGUGCGGGAUGACGGCCUUCGGGUGGUAAACCGCUUUCGCCUGUGACGAAGCGUGGGUGACGGUAAUGGGUAAAGAAGCACCGGCUAACUACGU